RNAcentral lists this ribosomal RNA (212 nucleotides) under uncultured bacterium. Its description in RNAcentral is "partial 16S ribosomal RNA". It matches the Rfam family "Bacterial small subunit ribosomal RNA", at positions 524 to 737 of the family's 1533-position model. The record is from RNAcentral.
UACGGAGGGUGCAAGCGUUAUCCGGAUUCACUGGGUUUAAAGGGUGCGUAGGAGGGCAGGUAAGUCAGUGGUGAAAUCUCCAAGCUUAACUUGGAACUGCCGUUGAUACUAUCUGUCUUGAAUAUUGUGGAGGUGAGCGGAAUAUGUCAUGUAGCGGUGAAAUGCUUAGAUAUGACAUAGAACACCAAUUGCGAAGCAGCUCACUACACAAU